GGCUUAACACAUGCAAGUCGAGGGGCAGCACAGGGAGCAAUCCUGGGUGGCGACCGGCGGAAGGGUGCGUAACGCGUGAGCAACUUGCCCGUAUCUGGGAGAUAACCGAUGGAAACGUCGACUAAUAUCCCAUAACACAAUUUGUGGCAUCGCAGAUUGUUAAAAGAGAAUCGGAUACGGAUAGGCUCGCGUGACAUUAGCUAGUUGGAGUGGUAACGGCACACCAAGGCGACGAUGUCUAGGGGUUCUGAGAGGAAGGUCCCCCACACUGGAACUGAGACACGGUCCACACUCCUACGGGAGGCAGCAGUGAGGAAUAUUGGACAAUGGAUGGAAAUCUGAUCCAGCCAUGCCGCGUGCAGGAAGACGGCCUUAUGGGUUGUAAACUGCUUUUAUACGGGAGCAAUAAGGGUUACGAGUAAUCCGAUGAGAGUACUGUAUGAAUAAGGAUCGGCUAACUCCGUGCCAGCAGCCGCGGUAAUACGGAGGAUCCGAGCGUUAUCCGGAAUUAUUGGGUUUAAAGGGUGCGUAGGCGGCCAUUUAAGUCAGCGGUGAAAUUUUGCAGCUUAACUGUAACAGUGCCGUUGAUACUGUUUGGCUAGGAUUUGGUUGUAGUGUGCGGAAUGUGUGGUGUAGCGGUGAAAUGCUUAGAUAUCACACAGAACACCGAUUGCGAAGGCAGCACACUAAGUCAUUAUUGACGCUGAGGCACGAAAGUGUGGGGAUCAAACAGGAUUAGAUACCCUGGUAGUCCACACUGUAAACGAUGAUAACUCGCUGUCGGCGAUACACAGUCGGUGGCCAAGCGAAAGCAUUAAGUUAUCCACCUGGGGAGUACGACCGCAAGGUUGAAACUCAAAGGAAUUGACGGGGGCCCGCACAAGCAGUGGAGUAUGUGGAUUAAUUCGAAGCAACGCGAAGAACCUUACCUAAGCUUGACAUCCUUUUGACCGAUGCCUAAUCGCAUCUUUCCCUUCGGGGACAGAAGUGACAGGUGGUGCAUGGUUGUCGUCAGCUCGUGUCGUGAGAUGUUGGGUUAAGUCCCGCAACGAGCGCAACCCUUGCUAUUAGUUGCUAACAUUGAGUUGAGCACUCUAAUGGGACUGCCCGUGACAAGCGGGAGGAAGGUGGGGAUGGCGUCAAAUCAUCAUGCCCUUUAUGAUCUGGGCUACACACGUGCUACAAUGGAUGGUACAGAGAGCAGCGAGACAGUGAUGUGGAGCGAAUCUCAAAAAGCCAUUCUCAGUUCGGACUGCAGGCUGCAACUCGCCUGCAUGAAGUCGGAAUCGCUAGUAAUCGCGGAUCAGCAUGUCGCGGUGAAUGCGUUCCCGGGCCUUGCACUCACCGCCCGUCAAG
Molecule: ribosomal RNA, 1356 nt
Filed under: uncultured bacterium
Lineage: Bacteria
Description: bacterial SSU rRNA
Rfam family: Bacterial small subunit ribosomal RNA
Source: RNAcentral